UUUCAUAGAGUAAAGUGACCGGCUCAUACGCAUGUAAGAAUAUGAUAUAUUUUAUAUGAAGGUUAUUGUGAAGGUUAAGGUGACGUGGAAGUGCCACGACUACAUAAAAUCCAGUUUUAACCAGAAUUAAUGGUAGGCGUUUUUAGUUUACAUUUAGCUUCAUAGUUAACUUUAACAAAAAGUCCCGAAGUAGACUCACAAGGAGAAGCACCUCAAGUCAAGAGGUCUCCUCAUAAAAUUAUUAAUUUGUGCCAAUUUUAUAGAAAUAAAAGCUUCACUGCAAGCAAUAGUUAAAUUAAAUUGGAAUUGUAGUUGUCAAAUAAGUCUUCACAUUCUUCAGCGACACAUUUAUUAUCGACUGAUUAUGGAAUCAAUGAAUUGCGUUGUUGCAGUAAUACUUGAAGCCGGUGCUUUUGGGAUAUAAUAAAAUUAUCGUGAUACUGUAAGAAAUAAGAAUUUACUGGAACAUUGUGUAGACUGAUGAGAAAUGCAGCUUGGAUGUGCCAAAAAGGGCAAAUGUACAUACUCAAUUUACUUGAUUUAACCCCAACCGACCAACUUUGUCGGAAUGAGCUUUCACAGAAAUGCGAUCCGAUUUAUAAGUAAUAAAUGACAAUUACUGUCAAUUUGUCUAUUUAUUCCACUGCUCUCGACAUUUGUUUUAUACAAAAUAGUGAUACCGCAGAAAUAAAUUUCAACAGGACUGUUAUGCCCUAAAUACGUACAGACCCGAAUAUCUACAUUUAAUGUAUUCAUUUGCUGUUGAAUAGUUAAUCGUAUCACAUUAUUAUAAUAAAUUUUCUUGCUACCAGGA
This is a long non-coding RNA of Folsomia candida, 814 nucleotides long. RefSeq lists it as uncharacterized. NCBI's taxonomy places the organism in Eukaryota, Metazoa, Arthropoda, Collembola, Entomobryomorpha, Isotomidae. The transcript is spliced from 2 exons. The record is from RefSeq and is a predicted model, not a curated record.